UGGGGGAUAUUGCGCAAUGGGGGAAACCCUGACGCAGCAACGCCGCGUGAAGGAAGACGGUUUUCGGAUUGUAAACUUCUUUGACGAGGGACGAUAAUGACGGUACCUCGAAAACAAGCCACGGCUAACUACGUGCCAGCAGCCGCGGUAAUACGUAGGUGGCGAGCGUUGUCCGGGAAUUACUGGGUGUAAAGGGCGAGUAGGCGGACAUACAAGUCAGAAGUGAAAUCUAGGGGCUCAACCCCUAAACUGCUUUUGAAACUGUAUGCCUUGAGUGCCGGAGAGGAAAGCGGAAUUCCUAGUGUAGCGGUGAAAUGCGUAGAUAUUAGGAGGAACACCAGUGGCGAAGGCGGCUUUCUGGACGGUAACUGACGCUGAGGCGCGAAAGCGUGGGGAGCAAACAGGAUUAGAUACC
Molecule: ribosomal RNA, 415 nt
Filed under: uncultured bacterium
Lineage: Bacteria
Description: bacterial SSU rRNA
Rfam family: Bacterial small subunit ribosomal RNA
Source: RNAcentral